Long non-coding RNA from Salvia splendens (bonfire salvia), 3063 nucleotides. RefSeq lists it as uncharacterized. Lineage: Eukaryota; Viridiplantae; Streptophyta; Magnoliopsida; Lamiales; Lamiaceae. The transcript is spliced from 13 exons. The record is from RefSeq and is a predicted model, not a curated record.
UAAAAAGUAGUGGGUGACUUCUCGGUUAUUGCAGCUCAAUCUCUAACCAUCUCUAUCUUUCUUCAUUUACGGUGGCCACCUUCAAGCCGGGAUACAACCACCGUAUUCCAGACGUCGCCGCUGCCCAUUUCUCAUUUCUUGUUCAGCCUCGUCAUCUCUCCCUGCGUGGAUGAGAUGCCGGUGGAUCUGAUCGUCGAGGCUCUUCAGAUCUAUCUGAUCCGCCCUCACGAAUCCGCCACCGGUGUGGACGUUCCCUCCACCAUUUCUCCGGAAAGCGCAGAUGCAACGUCAGUGGAGCUUACGGUGGGAACGCGCAAUAAGCGACGACCUUCAACAACGAAAAGAUUUUUGGCAAAUGUCCCAAAACAUUGAGAAAACGGUUGAGAAAUCGAAGGGAGUCGUGCAGCUAUUCAAAUUUCUAAAAAUGAAAAAGGAAAUGCCAUGAUUAACAGUUCAAAAUCAAAGUCAAAGCUUAAAUGGGCGAGAGAAAGAAGCAUGCCAAGAAGUUCAUCCGAUAAGCGUAUAAAACAUGUACGAAAAAGUUUGAAAGGAACAGCUAGAGAUGCUGAGGACAACAGUAACACGAUUGUAAGCAAAGCGAGCCAAUAAGUCCGGAUAGUCCUAUUGAUGGGACUCCUAGACCUGCAUUUCAUUCGUCCUGCAAAGUUUUUACUGCUUCUGAUACCAGCACACAUGGUGGAUUUUCUGUCUUUCAUAAACAUGCAAAUGAGUGUCUUCCCCCAUUGAAUACGAGCCAACAGAUUCUGAGCUUCCGACACAGGAAUUGAUUGCUAGGGAUACACAUGGAAAUGAAUGGCAAUUCAAACAUAUAUUUAGAGAGGAAGAGAAUGGGGUUUUAAGAGUACAAACCGACUAAAAUUGGUGUUGUGCAUUAAAGUGUUUUCUGAGUGCAAAAGGACUAAAUUAAUGCUGUGAAGUCAAGUAAAUGAUCCCAAUAUAUUGCAAAUAGAAGUGGCAAAAAAGGCAAAUCAUUGAACAGAAAUUGUAAAAUGAGUUGCAGGAACUUCGUGAUCCAAAAUAUGAAUGAGAGAUGGCACUCAAGAUUUCACAGAUGAGGUGCAUCACAGCAAUGACAAAUACAAAUACAGUAAAUGAUCCCAAUAUAUUGCAAAUAGAAGUGGCAAAAAAAGGCAAAUCAUUGAACAGAAAUUGUAAAAUGAGUUGCAGGAACUUCGUGAUCCAAAAUAUGAAUGAGAGAUGGCACUCAAGAUUUCACAGAUGAGGUGCAUCACAGCAAUGACAAAUACAAGUUAGAAAACUACCUUCAUAGGGUGGUGCUAAGUAGUUAUGGAAACUUUUAAAAACAUAAGUAACAUUAAGACAAUAUGAAACUAAAAUAGAAAAAAAUAGUGAUAAAGCAGAAAUAGCAUAAACUGAAAGAAAUACAGUAAGAAUAAAGACUGCAGAUUCAUAGAAGAAUAGAUAAACAAUAAAUGAGCAGUGAUUUAAAUGAGAAUAGAUGAAUUAAGAAGAAGAAAGGUUCUGAACUAUUUCUGAUGAUGAUUCUGCUGAAUGAUUUUGGUUGAGAGAAUUUAGUGAGUCACUGAAGGAGUGAGUGGCAGGGGUAUUUAUAGUGCUCACCUCUUCAACAUGCUUGUUGGAAAAUUAUGCAUGUUCCCAAAAAAACAUAAUCAUGAGAGACCUUCCGCAUAACAACUAUUUUCUAUUUAUAAAAAAUAUCUAAUAAUAAUAUUCAGACUUAAAAUACUUUAACAACUUGCAUGCCAAGUAUUAAUACAAAGUCUUUUACACUUAUAUUCAUAUUAGUAUUAUUAUUAAUUAAUAUUAAUACGAAUAUAAAAUUAAUAUUAAUAUGAAUAUAAGUUAAAUAUUAUAGAUUCAUGUCUCAUACAUUAAUAUUAAUAUUAAUAUUGAUAUGAAUAUAAGUUAAAUAUUACAGAUUCAUUUCUCAUAAAUUCGGCCUAUUUAAUUUCAUAAGUUUGCAACCAUAUAAGGUCAUUUAAGGCCCAAUUCAUUUCAGCAAUUAUUAACUUCACUUGUACUAUUAUAUAUAGGUGACUUAUUGAGUUAAAAAAAACACCUAACCCUAAAAAUAUAAUAGCAGCCUCUCACUCUCAACUCUUCAGAAAAAGGAAAGAGAAGGAAAAGAAAAGCGGCCUCUCUCUCUUCACUCUGCAAUCAUUAUAAAGAGAAGAUAACAUUGCAAGCAUGGGCGGCUACAAUACCUACUCCUACUCCUACUCCUACUCUACUGAAUCAAGACAUCACCAUAUAAAAAAAAAGGUAUGUAAUUCUUUCUUUUCGAGCUAUGUCCUGUAUCUAUAUUUGACAACAUAGUCAUAUCUAACUUACAUUAGCAUAAUGUUGAUGAGGUAUUAGAGAUUAUUAGAGUCAGAUUUCAAAUACAAUUACUACUCUUUGCAAAUAUUAAUUCUAGAAUGCUUUGCAAAUCCUAUCAUCUAUUUAUUUAAUAGGGUGUAUUAUGUCUCCAAUUUUCUUUACACAAACGAAUACAGUGCUUAGUUUUUAAAAUAUAUAUACUACUUGAUAGGUUUUUCAUUUAAUAUGGUAUCUGUUCAUUUACAACAGAUUUAUAAAUUUAUAUUCUGUCCCACUCUCUCUCUCUCUCUCUCUCUCUCUCUCUUAUUUUUCAUGUUCUAAAAUUUUAAUUUCAUUCUCUCUUUCUUUUUCUUUUUCUUUUUCUUUUUCUUUUUCUUUUUUAUCAUGUUCUAAAAUUGUGACUAUAUUCUCUCAGUCUGGAUUUCUCUGAUGCUGCUUCAUUGAUAAUUCUAAAUAUAGGUUUUAAAUAUUAAAACUAACAUAUUAUUUAACCUUGUUCAAGGAUAAAUUGAAUUGGAAAUAGAUAAUUGCUAUUGCCUUGCAGGAAAUAUUUUUGUACAUUUAAUAGUUUGUCACCCUCCGUCUUUGUGUGAAGAUUUUUGUACAUUUAAUAGUUUGUCACCCUCCGUCUUUGUGCGUCUCUUGGCAUAUCUCUCCCUGUAUGUCUCAUGUUUCAUGAUCUAAAAUUAUGAUUUUAUUCUCAUUUUUCACAUGAAUGAAAUUGUGAUUUUAUUCCCUGCC